UUGGGUACUUCCUCUCCCUUGGGGUAAAGAAGUACCAUUCAUUCUCUCCAAAGUCUGUUUUCUCUGUAUUUCACAAGAAUUUGACAUGUCAGAACAACAGAAACAUGCACAUGCACAUAUUACAACAGGGUCAAAUACAGGGCAUGGUUUUGAUGUGGCUUGGUUAGAAAGGUAGUACACGAUUAGUUCCUCAUCAGUGGGGUGAAACCUGAAGCCAGGUGGGAGCACAGAGCUUGUUCUGCCCUCCAUUGAGCAGAGUGAAAACCAAGAUUGAAUGGGAAACUAUGGAAAAUGGUUUAUUUGCUGUUACAGGGACGAAAGAGAAGGGAAAGAAGGAUCGAAAGAAGAAAAUUGAAAACAAGGGUUACAGAGAAAUCAAGGUGUUUGAAAUGUUUGCAAUGAAGUGGAUGCCCCUUUUAUCUUUGAUUUCUUGUCGUUUCUGGUGGCGCUGCAUGGCUUUGAUUGGUUCCUAAGGCGACUUUUCUACACAUUACUGCAUGCGUCACCUUACCCACCAGAUUCCUUAUUUAUUUAAUUAUAUAAGUUUCUCAAA
Vigna angularis (adzuki bean) is the source of this 553-nucleotide long non-coding RNA. RefSeq lists it as uncharacterized. The record is from RefSeq and is a predicted model, not a curated record. Lineage: Eukaryota; Viridiplantae; Streptophyta; Magnoliopsida; Fabales; Fabaceae. The transcript is spliced from 2 exons.